AACGCACAUUGCGCCCUUUGGCAUUCCGAAGGGCAUGCCCGUUCGAGCGUCAUUAAACCCAAUCAAGCCUGGCUUGGUCUUGGGCGACAUGGGGAAACCCCUGCGCCUUGAUUUCACCGGCUGGCCGCCGCCCGUCUUAGCGUUGCAACACUUAGAUCGCUAAGAUGCGUGUGUAGAAGUCAUGCUGUAAGGAUCUCUACGGGAGGAGACAUCAGAAUUUCGAUCGAAAUUCGAACAAGGUUGACCUCGGAUCGGGUAGGAAUACCCGCUGAACUUAA
RNAcentral lists this unclassified non-coding RNA (278 nucleotides) under uncultured fungus. RNAcentral's name for it is "partial contains 5.8S ribosomal RNA, internal transcribed spacer 2, and large subunit ribosomal RNA". Lineage: Eukaryota; Fungi. The record is from RNAcentral.